GAUGAACGCUGGCGGCGUGCCUAACACAUGCCAGUCGAACGAGACCUUCGGGUCUAGUGGCGCACGGGUGCGUAACGCGUGGGAACCUGCCCUUAGGUUCGGAAUAACUCCCCGAAAGGGGUGCUAAUACCGGAUAAUGUCUUCGGACCAAAGAUUUAUCGCCUUUGGAUGGGCCCGCGUUGGAUUAGCUUGUUGGUAGGGUAAAAGCCUACCAAGGCGACGAUCCAUAGCUGGUCUGAGAGGAUGAGCAGCCACACUGGGACGGAGACACGGCCCAGACUCCUACGGGAGGGAGCAGUGGGGAAUAUAGGACAAUGGGCGAAGGGCUGAUGCAGCAAUGCCGCGUGAGUGCUGAAGGCCUUAGGGUUGUAAAGCUCUUUUACCCGGGAUGAUAAUGACGGUACCGGGAGAAUAAGCUCCGGCUAACUCCGUG
Molecule: ribosomal RNA, 433 nt
Filed under: uncultured bacterium
Lineage: Bacteria
Description: partial 16S ribosomal RNA
Rfam family: Bacterial small subunit ribosomal RNA
Source: RNAcentral